This 103-nucleotide transfer RNA is filed under the name Candidatus Nanohalarchaeota archaeon. RNAcentral's name for it is "Candidatus Nanohaloarchaeota archaeon tRNA-Asn". It matches the Rfam family "tRNA". From Rfam's summary of the family: Transfer RNA (tRNA) molecules are approximately 80 nucleotides in length. Lineage: Archaea; Nanobdellati; Candidatus Nanohalarchaeota. RNAcentral also lists the same sequence under 1 other name. The record is from RNAcentral.
GCCCCGGUAGCUCAGCAGGUAGAGCGCAUGGCUGUUAACCAUGUCGUCGCAGGUUCGAGAAAUCGUGAAUACUUUCAUCGAUUAGAAAAUCCUGCCCGGGGCG